UGCAGGUGGAGGAGGCCAGGAGGUGGGAAGCAGUGCUGGGCUCCUGGGGGGGAAACUGAGCCGCCUCUCAAUCACAGGAAGAGUGUGCCUGUCAUGGGCUCCCCACCCAUAUCCCCAAAUGUCAUGUUCCUUUCUACGUCUGUACCUUUCAUCUCUUCCUCCAUUUGAAAUCCUCAUUCUUUCUUCUCUCCACCUGCCCGAAAGUGAUCCAUUUGAGGACUUGAUCUAGUCCACCUCUCCUAAGGAGCUGUCAUUAAUUAUUUUCUCAAUAACAUUCCCAAUUUUUUUAGGUUCUGUAAUACAACAUACACUAAAUACCUUGGCAGAAUCUAAUUACAUCUUGCAAACCGUUUCAUGUAUGUGGAGGAGCUUGGAACCUUAUAAUUCUUUGUAUUUUCUUCAAUACCUACCACUAAUAUCUUGCACAUAUAGGUCAAUGGAUGUCCAGUAAAGUUCAAUAAAGAAAAAGCACCCUUUAUGUGCUAAGAAUUUUUAUGAGCUCUGUUAUUCCUUUAGAUCAGCUGCUUGAACCAUUUGUCUUUCUCCACAGGUCAACAGUGUUGCCCAGCACAAAUGAAUUUUACACCUUCUCAAACUCAAUAGAGCAAAGAUGGAACUUCAUUCCCCCUGCAAGCCUUACUGCCCCAGAGAAAAGCAAAAACAACGGAGACUGAGAUGUCAAAAUUAUCAAGAAGCUGAAGCUCCCCAACUCCCGCUUCCUGGCGCCGAAUCCACCAUUCAUCACAGGGACAGACAAACAGAGGACACCUGGAGCUCCCCUAACUCAGCUAAACACAGGCUGAUGGGAGGACGCCGAACUGCAAAGCCGCAGCUCCCCUCCCCCACCUAAAACCUUGUAAACUGUAAUUGUUAAUUGGCAGCAGUUGCCAUCCACUCCCCAAGGCCAAAUUUCGGGUGGUGAGAGAAGAUUGGUCGAUGGAGCCCUAGAUCUCCUGCUGUGUAGAUAGAGAUGACAGCCGGCUUGGCGCCAGAAGACUGGGAUCCCUCUUCCAACAAAUAAUCAGUCACCAAGGAUACAUUCUUUCCCAAAGACUUUCCUUUAAAAGCCUCAACUCCUAAUGCCUUAGGAGGACUGUGGAUUUUGGGGCAUGAGCCCACUACAGCCUCAUUUUGCUGGCAAAAUUAAACCACUUUUCUUUUCCUCGGUCCCUGGUCAUUGUGUUCAUUGAUUCGGCUAUGGUGACAGGGUCCCGGGUUUUUCUGGCUACAUUUCCUUAAUUUGUUCCUAAAUAAAGAUGUUUCUGAAACUAAUAAUAAAUUGUACCAACUGGUCAUUGUAUAAAAAUCACUACUAAUAAUAAAUUGUACUAACUGG
Long non-coding RNA from Diceros bicornis minor, 1336 nucleotides. RefSeq lists it as uncharacterized. Lineage: Eukaryota; Metazoa; Chordata; Mammalia; Perissodactyla; Rhinocerotidae. The record is from RefSeq and is a predicted model, not a curated record. The transcript has 2 exons.